RNAcentral lists this ribosomal RNA (435 nucleotides) under Triticum aestivum (bread wheat). RNAcentral describes it as "partial small subunit ribosomal RNA". Lineage: Eukaryota; Viridiplantae; Streptophyta; Magnoliopsida; Poales; Poaceae. The record is from RNAcentral.
AUGCACAGUAACAUCGUGAGGGGCGGGCAGAACCCCUCGCCGCUGCCCCCUAGAGGCAUUCAAGGGCGUCAAGCAGAUCGGAGCCAUCGGAUGGGGCUCACAUAUUCAGUCCCAGCUUCACUUUGCUCCCCUUGCUGCACUGGGUCCGGCGCGGGCCAGAACCUGAGAGAUUCUUUGGUUGAAGCCAAGUCUGACAUCGUCAUUAAGAUCGGUCUCCGGAAAGGUUCUACAUCUUUUGACGAAGCAUGUGCAGCCAGGUUAACUGAGGAGAAUGAGACAUUGGGAGACAUAUGGGAGACGGUUGUGCUUUCGUUCACCUCAGGUUCUGCACAGGUUAAUUCUUCUCCGAUGUCAGUGACCCUCUGUCUGAGCCUCCUCACUGCAGUAGUGGUUUUCACCAUUGUCAUGUCCUCCAUGAUCAGCAUAGCAUCUUGA